Molecule: ribosomal RNA, 253 nt
Filed under: uncultured bacterium
Lineage: Bacteria
Description: partial 16S ribosomal RNA
Rfam family: Bacterial small subunit ribosomal RNA
Source: RNAcentral
UACGAGGGGUGCAAGCGUUAUUCGGAAUCAUUGGGCGUAAAGGGUGCGUAGACGGUUAGUUAAGUCUGUUGUUUAAGCCUCCGGCUUAACCGGAGAAGGGCAAUAGAAACUGGCUGACUAGAGGGUGAGAGAGAGAAGUGGAAUUUCUGGAGUAGCGGUCAAAUGCGUAGAUCUCAGAAGGAACACCGAUGGCGAAGGCAGCUUCUUGGCUCAUACCUGACGUUGAUGCACGAAAGCGUGGGGAGCAAACAGG